Molecule: RNA transcript, 5876 nt
Organism: Sus scrofa (pig)
Lineage: Eukaryota; Metazoa; Chordata; Mammalia; Artiodactyla; Suidae
Gene: PANK1
Gene name: pantothenate kinase 1
Source: RefSeq, a predicted model, not a curated record
GCCCUAAAAAGCAAAAAAUAAAUAAUUGGUAAAUGACUGAAUGAAUGAACAGAGAGGGGAAAGUACCUUGUGGGCUUCUCCUCCCUCACUCUCUUCCAAAUAUUUGUUCCAUGCCCCUGCUGGAGCAUGUGAUAACUCAUGCCUCAAAAUUACACAUCCGACACCCCUGGGCUCCCCCAAUAAACCUGUGAGAUGCCACCUGGCUUCCUCUCUACCACAUGCAGCAUGUUAACUAAUCCAGGGCACCAGCCGGAGCAGGAAAGGAAAAAGGAAGCAGGUGGAGGACGUUCUGUCCCCAGUACCAGUACUUCUGCCCUACCUGGGUCUGAGCCACCUGGCUCAGGCCUUCCUCAUCAUGCCUGGGAAUCUAGCUGGACCUAAUAUGCCCUUGGAGAUACUGCAUUGCUAAAGCCUCUGUUCACAUCUCUGAUGUAAAGUGCUUCCUAAACUGCUUAAAUUUUGUGAGAAUUGGAAAACGUUAUAUUUGAAAAUUUAGGAUUAACAAUGGAUGGUUUCUGUUUCUUUUGUUUUCUAGCAAAUUUACAGUAGAAAGUGAUCACUACUGUAGGUGAAAUAUCACCUAAGUCAUUCAGUCCCAAAUAAUUACCAAGAGCUUCUUAGGGAUGCAAUGUGAAUAAAAGUCAUCUGCCCUAAUGGAAAUUACAGUGUAUGGGGGUAGACAGACUAUCAAAUAUUAUCUUUUUCAUAAUGCUUAUGGUGCACUUUACAUAUAUAUUCAUUUCAUCACUGUAACAACUCAGUCAUGUUCUGUUAUUAUCCCCAUUGUAGAGUUACAAACUGAUAGAGUCACAAAGGUCAAGUGUAGAAGUAGGGAGCCCUAAUCUUGUUCUAAGAGUCAGGGAACGUUUCUUUCAAGGUGAGAGGUUGAAGCAGAGAUCUGAGGAUUGAGUUGGAACCUAGUAGACAAAGAGUUCUGGGAACAGGCAAUAGAAACAGCAGAUGCAAAGGGAUAUUCAUUUGUUUGAGGAAGUGAAAGGCUCUCUGUAGAGGGAGCACUGGGAGCUCAAGAUGAGGCAGGGGAGGUAGGCAGGGGCCGAAACACCUAAGCUUUUUUCCUCAAUGUCUUCAAAUAGUAUGAUAAGGUCAGGGAAGCAAAAAUAGUUAGGAGAUUUAAGGUUUAUUCUUAGCUUUGUUCUUCAUAGCCUCAGCCUUCUCUCCAUGGCACAGUUUCCUUAUCUGGGGGGGAAAAAAAUGAGUGAAUGGACCAGAGCACUCAAGUGGUCAUGGCUUCUAAAGCUCUGAUUCUAGGUCAGGCUCUGUGGAGAUGUAGGCCUUGGCUGCUGCUGAAUGCACUGAGGCCUCUGACUCCUCUGUGGAUUAGGUAAGUACAGAUGAUGGAGGAUAUCAUACACAAGUAAGUUAUGCAAUAAAUAUAGUUGUGAGCAUGGCUUGUUCCCUUUGUUGGAUAACCACCUCUUUGGGGCAUUUCCUGUGUGCCAGCAUGGUACCAGGUACUUUCAGGUAGAUUUCUCAUGACAAGUCCUAGUUAGAUUUAAAAGCUGAGGCAUCAAGGGAUUGAACAACUUCUGGAAGGCCCUCACCACCCACCUUUGUUCUGCCUACUGAGCGUGCCCAGUCCUGUUUCCUGUCGCCAGGUGUGUUCACUUGAGCAAUGACUUUCUCUGUAUUUGUUCAGUGGCUGACUUGGAAUUUGAGCCCAACUCUGACUCCAAAGCUGUGGUAUUGACUACCCUGCGAUGCUGCCUUCCCUACUUAAAACACAGGCAACUCCUUGCUCUAUAAAUAGGGUGACAUUGUCUCUUAAACGUCCUUUCUGGGUGAGGAAAGUGCUUUUUAUAGCUUGGGGCGGCUUCUGUUUACUUGGUCUCUUCCAACACCGGUUAAUCCCGCCUACAGCUGUGUCCUUCACUGUCCUUACACUGUAUUCUGAGGUUUCCUCCCUGCAAAAGACAACUCCACCAGGCCAAAUGGUGUCUGUGUGUGCCAGCAAAGAAAUUACACUCUCCUCCCUCUCCAAAUCCGCCUACCUUUCCAUAAAUAAUCCUUCUCCUCCUUCCCCUCAGGCCUGUGAGUAGUUUGGUCACUUAACUAAACACACUCACACAAACUCACAAAGGUUUCAGGGAGGAGGGGACAACGUGAAUGACCUUGCAAAGGUAUCCAGCUCACGGGGGCAGGAUUAGUAAACCAAAACCUCUACAAAUACAUGUUUUCUCCCCCACGCCGCAUUACUCUGAAGCUCCUUGCUCGCUCCCACCUCAGUCCGCUCUUGGCUCAGUCGGCCAUACAAAGCCCAACCCGCCCAUCUCUUCUUUUGCAAAGCCCGAGAACUUCAGUCCCCAUGUUGAAGCUCGGCGGUGGCGGUGGCGGUGGUGGUGGUGGCGGGCAGGACUGGGCAUGCUCAGUAGCGGGGACAGGUCUGGGAGGCGAGGAAGCCGUGUUUGAAGUCGCGCGGCUGGGGUAUACGGGAAAGGCGGGCUGCGGGGCCCCCGGCUCGGGGUGUGCGGGGAUCCCGGAUUCCGCGCCCGGAGCGGGCAUGCUCCAGGCCGGCCCCGGGGGGCCGACGCGCGGGGGGCAGGGCGUGGAGGAGGUGGGAGAACCCGCGGGAGGAGGGGAGGAGCACCCAGCUCUCCAUCCCCCGGCGCCGGCUCUGCGGCUGCUGAAUCGGAAGCCGCAAGGAGGAUCCGCGGAAAUAAAGACGCCGGAGAAUGACCUCCAGAGAGGCCGCAUGAGCCGGGGCCCGCGCACUGUCCCACCAGCCCCGGGCAUGGGCGACCACGGCGGGCACCCGGAGCUCUCGGCCCCGCAAGCCCCGGGGACUCCCGUCGGCGCCGGCGUUGCAGCCUUGAACGGGCUGCUGCACAACGGCUUCUACCCGCCGUCAGUGCAGCCGCCGCGCCUCUGCGGCCGGGGCCCUGCGGGCGGCGGCGACGCGGCGCCCCAGCGCCUCCCGCUCCAGCCCGACCUCCAGUCACAGCCGCCGCCCCCUCAGCACGAUUCCCCGGCCAAGAAAUGCCGGCUGCGGAGGAGGAUGGACUCGGGCAGGAAGAACAGGCCGCCAUUCCCAUGGUUUGGCAUGGACAUCGGUGGGACUCUAGUUAAGCUGGUCUACUUUGAACCCAAGGAUAUUACAGCUGAAGAGGAGCAGGAGGAAGUGGAGAACCUGAAGAGCAUCAGGAAGUAUCUGACUUCUAACACUGCCUAUGGGAAAACCGGGAUCCGAGAUGUCCACCUGGAACUGAAAAACUUGACCAUGUGUGGACGGAAGGGAAACCUGCACUUCAUCCGCUUUCCCAGUUGCGCGAUGCACAGGUUCAUCCAGAUGGGCAGCGAGAAGAACUUCUCCAGCCUCCACACCACCCUCUGUGCCACGGGAGGCGGGGCUUUCAAGUUUGAAGAGGACUUCAGAACGAUCGCUGACCUGCAGCUCCAUAAACUGGAUGAACUGGACUGUCUCAUUCAGGGCCUGCUUUAUGUUGACUCCGUCGGCUUCAACGGCAAGCCGGAAUGUUAUUAUUUUGAGAAUCCCACAAAUCCCGAAUUGUGUCAAAAAAAGCCGUACUGCCUGGAUAACCCAUACCCUAUGUUGCUGGUGAACAUGGGCUCAGGUGUGAGCAUUCUAGCAGUGUACUCCAAGGACAACUAUAAAAGAGUGACAGGGACCAGUCUUGGAGGUGGAACAUUCCUAGGCCUAUGUUGCUUGCUGACUGGUUGUGAGACCUUUGAAGAAGCUCUGGAAAUGGCAGCUAAAGGCGACAGCACCAAUGUUGAUAAGCUGGUGAAGGACAUUUACGGAGGAGACUAUGAACGAUUUGGCCUUCAAGGAUCUGCGGUAGCAUCAAGCUUUGGCAACAUGAUGAGUAAGGAAAAACGAGAGUCCAUCAGCAAGGAAGACCUCGCCCGGGCCACACUGGUCACCAUCACCAACAACAUUGGCUCCAUUGCUCGGAUGUGUGCAUUGAACGAGGUAAGGCCUUAACCCAGAGAGAGCCGUGUGCCAUUCAUAAACACCAUCAUUGGCAGUGCAGUAACUGUUGACCCUCAUAAAACUACACAACAUUGGGAAACUGGCUCUCUGUCAUAGUCACACCUUGUAGGAUAUGAGGGGUGUGUGCUGGGAGAGGGAGAGGAGUAUGUGUUUUAUUUUUAAGUAGGCACUGGAUGAUGACGAACAAAACCAUCUAACUAUGGAAACAUGGUCAAGGUGACAGUCUAUGCCAUAGCCUCUCCAACUUCAUGGACACACACCUAUUGAAGUGUGAGGAAAGUCUCUGUGCAUCCUUGCAAAUAAUUGCAGAAUAUUGACAGAGUUGUGUUUGUUGGGAAUUUUCUCAGAAUCAAUAUGGUCUCCAUGAAGCUGCUAGCAUAUGCCAUGGAUUUUUGGUCCAAAGGACAGCUAAAAGCUCUGUUCUUGGAACAUGAGGGUUAUUUCGGAGCUGUUGGGGCACUGUUGGAACUGUUCAAAAUGACUGAUGACCAGUAGAGAUGAGCCAUAGAUGGAACAGCCUUCUGGGAGAACAGGGAACUGAGCUCUGGAAAGGGUGAAAGCCACUACAGGACGGAAGCCAAGCCAUUAUGGCAGAUGAACCUGCUGGAUUUGUAAAUAAUUUAAAAUCCUUCUAGCUGAUCUUUUACUCUUGGAUUUUGAGCUUCUGAUUCAAAAUGGGGAAUACAAGAGUUUUUUUCUGUAUACUGUAUUUUUAAAAAAAAAAUCAUUUGUGCAGCGAGGCCAAACAUACCAAUUUGAUGCAUUAACUCUAAGAAAUUGUACGAUGUUUAGGAAGGACCUGAAAUGUAAGUGCUGUUUAUUCUUCUUCUGGGGUUUACUGAUCAGUGUGGUAAUUUUAACUUCAUUUAGUAAUUACUCUAGGAGAUUUUACCUUUACUUAUUUUUCAUGACGUUUCAUGAUUUGCUGUUGGUUUCAAAUGAAACUACAAAUCUGGCAUGUUUUACUGUGAACACUAUUUUGUUUGUUUGUUUACCUUUUUUGGUCUUGUUUUUUUCUGUUUGAAUGUCUUAUGAAAAAAGAGAAUCCUUCCCCUUGUUUCUGUCCUUGGAUGACUCCCCACCCCUCUCAAUACUGUUCAUUCAUGUAAUUGUUUAUAUUAAUCAAGGUGCUGACCAAUUCAGUACAAAGUUAAGCACGAGAUCUAAAGCUCUCAAAAGUGCCCUUGAAGAGAAAACCCUGAGUGUUCACAAAUUUAGUGAGUCCUGAAAAAGUUGAAAAUUAUAUGCAAUUUUGACUUUCCCUUAUGAAUCUACAAUGUUGCAUUGGAUUUAUUUUAUGUUAGGUCAUAUUAAAUUGAGACGUUCUCUGAUGGAAUGUCCUCAUCCAUGCACAGCAUAUGAAUGGCAGCAAAUCCUUGUACAGAUGUUGGGAUUUACAGGGGCAAGUCUCCUAGCAGAGUAACUGUACACACUGGGAGGUUUAGGAGAAGUCAUGGCUUGAGGUGUCCAUAUAGUCAUAUCUGUGUUUUGUACAUGUAUGUACCUAGGAGCUUUGUAACAAGGCAUCUUAAAUAAUAAUAAAGUUUUUUUUAGUUGAAAUAUUUUAAGCUGAAAAUUAUAUUUCAAUCCCACUUUCUAAAAUUUGAAAAGAAUAUGAUACUGAUGUAUUUUUUUUUUCUGUUUAAAUGAAAUCAUUGGGACCGAUGGGUAACUUUCUAAUGAGAGUCUUGUAUAAAUAUUGAAACACAUGAGAUCUAAUGAUUUAAAACUAAGAAAUCCUUUCAGUUGAUUUUUUGAAGGGCAGAACAGUUGCUCCAUGAUGAAACUUUCCUUCUCUGCCUUCUGGGCACCAUCUCUAAUUCCCAUGUCUUCAAGUCUUGAAGAAGUUGAUGUUAAUUGAAACAUUCACUUGUCUGGUUGAAAUAAAGCCUGUUUCUGUUGUGAU